GAUGAACGCUGGCGGCGUGCCUAAUACAUGCAAGUCGAGCGAACAGAUGAGGAGCUUGCUCCUCUGACGUUAGAGGCGGACGGGUGAGUAACACGUGGAUAACCUACCUAUAAGACUGGGAUAAAUUCGGGAAACCGGAGCUAAUACCGGAUAAUAUAUUGAACCGCAUGGUUCAAUAGUGAAAGACGGUUUUGCUGUCACUUAUAGAUGGAUCCGCGCCGCAUUAGCUAGUUGGUAAGGUAACGGCUUACCAAGGCAACGAUGGGUAGCCGACCUGAGAGGACGACCAGCCACACUGGGACUGUGACACGGACCAGACUACCACGGGAGGGAGCAGUGGGGAAUUUUGGACAAUGGGCGCAAGCCUGAUACAGCCAUGCCGCGUGCAGGAUGAAGGCCUUAGGGUUGUAAACUGCUUUUGUACGGAACGAAAAAGCUCUCUCUAAUACAGGGGGUGAAUGACGGGACCGGAAGAAUAAGCAACGGCUAACUACGUG
Molecule: ribosomal RNA, 497 nt
Filed under: uncultured bacterium
Lineage: Bacteria
Description: partial 16S ribosomal RNA
Rfam family: Bacterial small subunit ribosomal RNA
Source: RNAcentral